AAGUCGUAACAAGGUUUCCGUAGGUGAACCUGCGGAAGGAUCAUUAACACUUUUUUGAAAGCAUCCAAUAUCAACAAAUUACAACCAAACGGUCAACUAUCUCCUCCCUAUUUCGCACACCGGAGACGGUACGAGUAGGCUAACAUGUAAAUAACAAGCACAAGCUCCAAGCAAUUGCGCAUGCGCAUGUUAUUUUCAAACACAAGAUAACCCCUUUUAAUUAUAUUAUUCAUUUAAUAUAAACGAACAACUCUUCGAAUUUGUGCCCUUCAUUCUUCAAUGAAGAACAAAAACGAACUAAACUAAAAUAUACAUUCGAUAUAUUUUUAUUUUACGAAAUAAUAUAUAUUUAUAAGAACAACUCUUAGCAAUGGAUAUCUUGGUUCUC
Molecule: unclassified non-coding RNA, 388 nt
Filed under: fungal sp.
Lineage: Eukaryota; Fungi
Also listed under: 1 other name
Description: partial internal transcribed spacer region
Rfam family: Eukaryotic small subunit ribosomal RNA (bases 1-46)
Source: RNAcentral